GAUGGUUACGGAGAGGGUGACCUGUCCCUCACCUUCACCGGUGUACGCUCGUCUGACCAGGGGACCUACCUGUGCUUCUUCAACCAGGAUAGUAAGCCAGGAUAUCCACAUGGAGUCACUCUCACUGUUAACGAAAAGCGAUCGGAGCCUGCAAUGAUUGAUAGAGAAAGGAGUAGGGUACCAGUGAUAGGAAUAAAUAUUCUACUUCUGUUAAUCAUUUGUGUGCUCGUGUUACUGGCGAUUCACAAGAGAAAAAGGAGACAGCCAACAGUGGGCUUCACAGUCACGGGAAAAGAGGACACCACGAUGAUCAACACAGCAUCACCAGCACAUCUGUCCAUUGAGGAUCUUCCUGUUCCAGUUCAGGACAGCCAACCGUUGUCAGAAGUUCAAAGAAUCCAGAAUUGUUGUGAUGAUCAUCUUGAUGAGGCCACGUGUCCUGAGGGGAUGGAUGAACGCACAGAGGAAGAGGAGGAGCUCCAUCUCCCAGUAGCUGAAAGUGGGACACUGCUAGAGCAGGAGAAGAGUAGCACAGGGAGUUGAGUUAUGUAUGAAAGUAGUAUGUUCUGGUUGCCAACUUCUUUGUUGUCGUGAAAUGUUGGAUGAAAUGUUCUAUGUUCACUGAAGUGGAUGUGGAUGUCUUCCUAUCAUAGUUUACUAUAUGAAUCGGUAGCCAAUGACUGUAGCUUGAUUGCCUUGAAUCAAAUGAUACAGGGUUUAUUUUAUCUAGGGCCCAGUCUUUGCUGAUGUUCUGCCUAGUCUUCCAGUUUAAAGCUAGUGAUUUUAAACCAGCAUAAGCAUUUUAUUGGGGGGUGAGAGGUAUAAAGGAGGAUCCUUUGAGUGUGUGAAUAUGAAAGGGAAGCUGGUAAGGUAUAAAGGAGGAAUCAUUCAUCUCUCUGGUGGUGGUGCUACUGAUAUUGUAACUGGAAGGUUUACUAGUCAAGAUCAAUGUCACAUUUAAUCUGGCCUUGCUUGAUAUCAAAGGGGAUAUCACGGUACGUGUAAUAGACAAUAUCCCCACAAGAGGGCAGACGUACACCAUAAUUUUUAAGUAAACUAUGAUUAUUUUUGGGUCAGUGAUACACUUGAGACGUCCCUACCCUAAAUCCUAACCUUAAUCCACAAGCAAUACUUUAAUCCUUACAUUAACUAUUUUACAUUUCAACUUCUGUGGGGUAGGCACGUCCCAAGGAUCCUCGAUAACAGAUGAAUGUAUUAUUAUAACGUAUUACAUGAUGCGUAAUAAAUAUAUGUAUUUGCUAAAUGAUUAUAAAGAAUGUUUGCUAUA
Long non-coding RNA from Oncorhynchus gorbuscha (pink salmon), 1288 nucleotides. RefSeq lists it as uncharacterized. The transcript is spliced from 2 exons. NCBI's taxonomy places the organism in Eukaryota, Metazoa, Chordata, Actinopteri, Salmoniformes, Salmonidae. The record is from RefSeq and is a predicted model, not a curated record.